CUGGAGAAUCAGGUCACAAAGAAUCAGACACAACUGAGUGACUUUUACUCACUUUGCCAGCUUGCUUGGCCUGGGCAACAUGGUGUGUCUAACUAGGUUUGGACUCAUCUCAUACGUGCCAUGUGGUCUUCCAGGAACUGCACCCUACGUCCCUGAAGGAGGGAGCCAACCCCGCCCUCAUCAACCCGCCCUGCCUCUGCCUCCGCACCUGCAGGGCAGACUGGCACAUGUUCACCAGCCCCUGAAUGAGGUACUAUUCGCAUAUAUAUCAUCACUUCAUUUAACUCCUUUGUCAAUAAGAUAUUGAGUGCCUACCAAGUUAAGCAGGAAGAAGAGAUGAAAUGAUACUGUCCUUGACUUCAGGAAUUCAAAAAAACGUGAAUAUUCUUGUUCAUUAACAAGAAUAAAAAUAAUAACAGUA
Capra hircus (goat) is the source of this 421-nucleotide long non-coding RNA. RefSeq lists it as uncharacterized. The transcript has 2 exons. The record is from RefSeq and is a predicted model, not a curated record. NCBI's taxonomy places the organism in Eukaryota, Metazoa, Chordata, Mammalia, Artiodactyla, Bovidae.